Molecule: ribosomal RNA, 322 nt
Filed under: uncultured eukaryote
Lineage: Eukaryota
Description: partial 18S ribosomal RNA
Rfam family: Eukaryotic small subunit ribosomal RNA
Source: RNAcentral
CCCUUAGAUGUUCUGGGCCGCACGCGUGUUACACUGAGUGGAUCAGCGGGUCAGGUUGCGCGAAAGUGUUUCCUAAUCUUGAAAUCCGCUCGUGAUGGGGAUUGACGGUUGCAAUUUUCCGUCAUGAACGAGGAAUACCUUGUAAGCGCGGGUCAUCAUCCCGCGCUGAAUACGUCCCUGCCCUUUGUACACACCGCCCGUCGCUCCUACCGAUUGAGUGGUCCGGUGAGGCUUUGGGAUCUGAGCGGAAAGAGCGUUUCGCUGUUUCUGCUCGGAAAACUCAGUCGAACCUUAUCAUUUAGAGGAAGGAGAAGUCGUAACA